UGAGCAAUCUGCCCUUCUCUUUGGAAUAAGCGUUGGAAACGACGUCUAAUGCCGAAUACGACCUCCUUUCGCAUGAUCGGAGGUGGAAAGCUCCGGCGGAGAAGGAUGAGCUCGCGGCCUAUCAGCUAGUUGGUGUGGGUAAUGGCCCACCAAGGCGACGACGGGUAGCUGGUCUGAGAGGAUGGCCAGCCACACGUGGGACUGAGACACGGCCCAGACCUCGUACGGGA
RNAcentral lists this ribosomal RNA (230 nucleotides) under uncultured bacterium. RNAcentral's name for it is "partial 16S ribosomal RNA". It matches the Rfam family "Bacterial small subunit ribosomal RNA", at positions 118 to 346 of the family's 1533-position model. The record is from RNAcentral.